Molecule: long non-coding RNA, 641 nt
Filed under: Gallus gallus (chicken)
Lineage: Eukaryota; Metazoa; Chordata; Aves; Galliformes; Phasianidae
Description: lncRNA (ENSGALG00010000477.1)
Source: RNAcentral
GGGGCACUGGGAGGGGCUGCCCCAUAGAUCUGCCCCAUAGAUCAGCACGAGAGAUGGCACAGGUAUGGCUCUGCCCCAUAGGUGGCACUGGGGGGGGCUCUGCCCCAUAGAUGGCACAGCCCCCCGCGAUGGCGCCUCUCUUCCUCCUCCUCCUCCUCCUCCUCUCCCCCUCCCCGACUUCCGCCCACCCGGAUUUCGCCUACAGCGCCCCCAACCGCCCGGAGCCCCCCGCGAUGGCGCCUCUCUUCCUCCUCCUCCUCCUCCUCCUCUCCCCCUCCCCGACUUCCGCCCACCCGGAUUUCGCCUACAGCGCCCCCAACCGCCCGGAGGUCCGCACCACCACCGGCUCCGUCGAACCCCAUAGCGCCCCAUAGCGCCCCAUAGCGCCCCAGAACCACCCCAGAACCCCACAGCCACCCCAUAACCACCCCAUAGCCAUCCCACAGCCACCCCAUAACCACCCCAGCAGAACCCCAUAGCCACCCCGUAACCCCAUAGCCACCCUAUAGUGCCCCAUCACCACCCCAUAACCCCAUCACCACCCCAUAACCAACCUAUAACCCCCCCAUAAGCCACCCCAUCACCCCAUAACCCCACUCCAUCACCCCAUCACCACCCCACAACCCCACCCCACAACCCCA